Poecile atricapillus (Black-capped chickadee) is the source of this 4923-nucleotide RNA transcript. RefSeq lists it as uncharacterized. Lineage: Eukaryota; Metazoa; Chordata; Aves; Passeriformes; Paridae. The record is from RefSeq and is a predicted model, not a curated record. The transcript is spliced from 4 exons.
AGGAGGGGGGAGGGGCGUGGGGGAAAGGGGGGGGGAUGACGUCAGCACAAAAGGGGCGGAGCCUCAAGCUCCUCCCCCUCCCAUUUUCCCGCCUUUUUCCAAGCCACGCCCACCCCCAUUCACAAAAGCCCCUCCCACACUUCCAUAUUUGGCGUUUAGGGGGCGGAGACUUCCGGAAAGGGGGCGGGUCCGGCGGCUGCCCCACAAGUCAAGCUCUGGGGGGGGUUCAAAGUUCCUUUUUCUGCCCCAAAAAACCCAAAUUUUGGGGUCUUGAAAGUCCAUUUUUCAGCCCCAAAAAUGGCAAAUUUUGGGGUCUUAAAAGUCCAUUUUUCUGCCCCAAAAAUCAGAAGUUUUGGGGUCUUAAAAGUCCGUUUUUCUGCCCCAAAUAUUUGAAUUUUUGGGUCUUGAAAGUUCCUUUUUCUGCCCCAAAAAUCGGAAAUUUUGGGGUCUUGAAAUUCCAUUUUUCUGCCCCAAAAAUGGCAAAUUUUGGGGUUUUAAAGUUGAUUUUUUCUCCUCUAAAAGUUGAAGUUUUGGGGUCUUAAAAGUUCCUUUUUCUGCCCCAAAAAUGGCAAAUUUUGGGGUCUUAAAAGUCCAUUUUUCUGCCCCAAAAACCAGAAAUUUUGGGGUCUUAAAAGUCCAUUUUUGUGCCCCAAAUAUUUGAAUUUUUGGGUCUUGAAAGUUCCUUUUUCUGCCCCAAAAAUCGGAAAUUUUGGGGUUUUAAAGUCAAUUUUUUCUCCUCCAAAAGUUGAAGUUUUGGGGUCUUAAAGUUCCGUUUUUCUGCCCCAAAAAUGGGAAAUUUUGGGGUCUUUAAUUCGAUUUUUCUGCCCCAAAAAUCACAAAUUUUGGGGUCUUAAAAGUCCAUUUUUCUGCCCCAAAAAACGCAAAUUUUGGGGUCUUAAAAGUCCAUUUUUCUGCCCCAAAAAUCGGAAAUUUUGGGGUCUUAAAAGUUCAUUUUUCUGCCCCAAAAAUCGGAAAUUUUGGGGUUUUCAAGUCAAUUUUUUCUCCUCCAAAAGUUGAAGUUUUGGGGUCUUGAAAGUUCCUUUUUCUGCCCCAAAAAUCGGAAAUUUUGGGGUCUUAAAAGUUCCUUUUUCUGCCCCAAAAAACGCAAAUUUUGGGGUCUUAAAAGUCCAUUUUUCUGCCCCAAAAAUCGAAAUUUUUUGGGUUUUAAAGUCAAUUUUUUCUCCUCCAAUAGUUGAAGUUUUGGGGUCUUAAAGUUGCGUUUUUCUGCCCCAAAAAUCGGAAAUUUUGGGGUCUUAAAAUUGAUUUUUUCUCCUCUAAAAGUUGAAGUUUUGGGGUCUUAAAGUUCCUUUUUCUGCCCCAAAAAUCGGAAGUUUUGGGGUCUUAAAAGUUCAUUUUUCUGCCCCAAAAAUCAGAAAUUUUGGGGUCUUGAAAGUUCAUUUUUCUGCCCCAAAAAUCAGAAGUUUUGGGGUCUUAAAAGUCCAUUUUUGUGCCCCAAAUAUUUGAAUUUUUGGGUCUUGAAAGUUCCUUUUUCUGCCCCAAAAAUCGAAAUUUUUUGGGUUUUAAAGUCAAUUUUUUCUCCUCCAAAAGUUGAAGUUUUGGGGUCUUAAAGUUCCGUUUUUCUGCCCCAAAAAUCGGAAGUUUUGGGGUCUUAAAAGUCCAUUUUUCUGCCCCAAAAAUGGCAAAUUUUGGGGUCUUAAAAGUCCAUUUUUCUGCCCCAAAAAUGGCAAAUUUUGGGGUCUCAAAGUUGAUUUUUUUGCCCCGAAAAUCCGAAGUUUUGGGGUCUUAAAAGUCCAUUUUUGUGCCCCAAAUAUUUGAAUUUUUGGGUCUUGAAAGUUCCUUUUUCUGCCCCAAAAAUCGGAAAUUUUGGGGUCUUGAAAGUUCCUUUUUCUGCCCCAAAAAUCGGAAGUUUUGGGGUCUUAAAAGUUCCUUUUUCUGCCCCAAAAAUCAGAAAUUUUGGGGUCUUGAAAGUUCAUUUUUCUGCCCCAUAAGUGAAGCUGGGGGUCGCUGGAGUUUGGUUUCUGCCCCACAAGUGGAUUUUGGGGUCUUAAAGUCGAUUUUUCUGCCCCACAAGUGAAUUUUUGGGGUCUUAAAAUCCAUUUUCUGCCCCACAAGUGACACUUGGGGGUCGCUGGAAUCCGUUUCUGCCCCAUAGAUGAAACUUUGGGGUCUCAAAGUCCAUUCUCUGCCCCACAAGUGAAACUUGGGGGUCUCAGGCUCCAUUCUCUGCCCCAUAAGUGAAACUUGGGGGUCUCAGGCUCCGUUCUCUGCCCCAUAAGUGGAACUUGGGGGUCGCUGGAAUCCGUUUCUGCCCCAUAAGUGAACUUUGGAGUCAUUGGAGUCCUCUCUCUGCCCCAUAAGUGGAGUUGGGGGGUCUCAGGCUCCGUUCUCUGCCCCACAAGUGGAACUUGGGGGUCACUGGAAUCCGUUCCUGCCCCAUAAGUGGAGUUUGGGGUGGUUGGAGUCGAUUUUCUGCCCCACAAGUGGAAAUUUGGGGUCUCAAAGUUCAUUUUUCUGCCCCAUAAGUGAAAGUUGGGGGUCACUGGAAUCCGUUUCUGCCCCAUAGAUGAAAUUUUGGGGGUCUCAAAAUCCAUUUCCUGCCCCACAAGUGGAACUUGGGGGUCUCAGGCUCCGUUUCUGCCCCACAAAUUGAAUUUUGGGGGCCUCAAAGUCCAUUUCCUGCCCCACAAGUGGAACUUUGGGGUCUCCAGGUGCCCCACAAGUGAAUUUUGGGGGUCCAAGUCUCGUUCUCUGCCCCACAAGUGGAACUUGGGGGUCUCAGGCUCCGUUUCUGCCCCAUAAGUGAAACUUGGGGGUCACUGAAGUCGAUUUCUGCCCCAUAAGUGGAAUUUUGGGGGUCUCAGGCUCCGUUUCUGCCCCAUAGAUGAAACCUCGAGGUCUCAAAGUCCAUUCUCUGCCCCACAAGUGGAACUUGGGGGUCACUGGAAUCCGUUUCUGCCCCACAAGUGGAACUUGGGGGUCUCAAAGUCCGUUCUCUGCCCCACAAGUGGAAUUUUGGGGGUCUCAAGGUCCAUUUCCUGCCCCACAAGUGGAACUUGGGGGUCACCGAAGUCGAUUUCUGCCCCACAAGUGGAACUUGGGGGUCACUGGAAUCCGUUUCUGCCCCACAAGUGGAACUUGGGGGUCUCAAAGUCCAUUUCCUGCCCCACAAGUGGAACUUGGGGGUCACUGAAGUCGAUUUCUGCCCCACAAGUGGAACUUGGGGGUCACUGAAGUCGAUUUCUGCCCCACAAGUGGAACUUGGGGGUCUCAAAGUCCGUUCUCUGCCCCACAAGUGGAAUUUUGGGGUCUCCAGGUGCCCCACAAGUGAAUUUUGGGGGUCUCAAGCUCCGUUCUCUGCCCCACAAGUGCAACUUGGGGGUCACUGCAGUCGAUUUCUGCCCCAUAGAUGAAAUUUUGGGGGUCUCAAAGUCCGUUCUCUGCCCCAUAAGUGGAACUUGGGGGUCCAAGUCUCGUUCUCUGCCCCACAAGUGGAACUUGGGGGUCUCCAGGUGCCCCACAAGUGGAACUUGGAGGUCUCAGGUUCCAUUCUCUGCCCCACAAGUGAAUUUUGGGGGGUCCAAGUCCCGUUCCUGCCCCACAAGUGGAACUUGGGGGUCACUGAAGUCGAUUUCUGCCCCACAAGUGGAACUUGGGGGUCACUGGAAUCCAUUUCUGCCCCAUAAGUAGAACUUGGGGGUCUCAAGGUCCAUUUCCUGCCCCACAAGUGGAAUUUCGGGGUCUCAAAGUCCGUUCUCUGCCCCACAAGUGGAACUUGGGGGUCUCAACGUCCGUUCUCUGCCCCACAAGUGGAAUUUUGGGGGUCUCAAGGUCCAUUUCCUGCCCCACAAGUGGAACUUGGGGGUCACUGGAAUCCAUUUCUGCCCCACAAGUGGAACUUGGGGGUCUCAACGUCCGUUCUCUGCCCCAUAAGUGGAACUUGGGGGUCUCAGGUUCCAUUCUCUGCCCCACAAGUGGAACUUGGGGGUCUCCAGGUGCCCCAUAAGUGAACUUUGGGGGUCUCAGGCUCCGUUUCUGCCCCACAAGUGGAAUUUUGGGGUCUCCAGGUGCCCCACAAGUGAAUUUUGGGGGGGUCCAAGUCCCGUUCUCUGCCCCACAAGUGGAACUUGGGGGUCUCAGGUUCCAUUUUCUGCCCCAUAGAUGAAAUCUUUGGGGUCUCAAGCUCCACUUCUGCCCCAUAAGUGGAAUUUUGGGGGUCUCAGGCUCCGUUCUCUGCCCCAUAAGUGGAACUUGGGGGUCACUGGAAUCCGUUUCUGCCCCACAAAUGAAAUCUUUGGGGUCUCAAGCUCCACUUCUGCCCCAUAAGUAGAACUUGGGGGUCUCAGGCUCCAUUUCUGCCCCACAAGUGAAAUUUGGGGGGUCCAAGUCCAUUCUCUGCCCCACAAGUGAAACUUGGGGGUCUCAGACUCCGUUUCUGCCCCACAAGUGGAACUUGGGGGUCUCCAGGUGCCCCACAAGUGAAUUUUGGGGGUCCAAGUCCAUUCUCUGCCCCACAAGUGGAAUUUUGGGGGUCCAAGUCCCGUUCUCUGCCCCACAAGUGGAACUUGGGGGUCACUGAAGUCGAUUUCUGCCCCACAAGUGGAACUUGGGGGUCUCAAAGUCCGUUCUCUGCCCCACAAGUGGAAUUUUGGGGUCUCCAGGUGCCCCACAAGUGAAUUUUGGGGGGGUCCAAGUCCCGUUCUCUGCCCCACAAGUGGAACUUGGGGGUCUCAGGCUCCGUUUCUGCCCCAUAAGUGGAAAUGGGGGGGGUGGAUCCGUGGGGGGGGUUCCGGAAGGUUCCGUGGGGCGGCGCUGGGUGCCCAAAAAAGAGACGUGUGGGGGGUCCGGGGGGGCUGGGGAGGGGUCCCAGAUCUAUGGGGCAGCCCCACAAGUGGGGUUUGGGUCAAAAAUCCCCGAUUUUGGGCAAAAAUCCCCAGAUUUGGGUCAAAAUUCCCAAUUUUUUGG